RNAcentral lists this ribosomal RNA (495 nucleotides) under uncultured bacterium. RNAcentral describes it as "bacterial SSU rRNA". It matches the Rfam family "Bacterial small subunit ribosomal RNA", at positions 28 to 513 of the family's 1533-position model. The record is from RNAcentral.
GAUGAACGCUAGCGGCAGGCUUAACACAUGCAAGUCGAGGGGCAGCGGGUAUGUUAGCAAUAACAUAUGCCGGCGACCGGCGCAAGGGUGCGUAACGCGUGAGUAACAUGCCCGUAUCAGGAGGAUAACCCGGAGAAAUCCGGGCUAAUACUGCAUAAUAUUUUCAGACGGCAUCGUUUGGGAAUUAAAGUUUCGACGGAUACGGAUUGGCUCGCGUGACAUUAGCUAGAUGGAGAGGUAACGGCUCCCCAUGGCGACGAUGUCUAGGGGUUCUGAGAGGAAGGUCCCCCACACUGGAACUGAGACACGGUCCAGACUCCUACGGGAGCAGCAGUGAGGAAUAUUGGUCAAUGGUCGGAAGACUGAACCAGCCAAGUAGCGUGAAGGAUGAAGGUUCUAUGGAUUGUAAACUUCUUUAUACGGGAAUAAAACCACCUACGUGUAGGUGCUUGUAUGUACCGUAUGAAUAAGCAUCGGCUAACGUCCGUGCCAGCA